This 71-nucleotide transfer RNA is filed under the name Thalassoma cupido. RNAcentral describes it as "tRNA-Ile". It matches the Rfam family "tRNA". Rfam says of the family: Transfer RNA (tRNA) molecules are approximately 80 nucleotides in length. Their secondary structure includes four short double-helical elements and three loops (D, anti-codon, and T loops). Lineage: Eukaryota; Metazoa; Chordata; Actinopteri; Labriformes; Labridae. The record is from RNAcentral.
GGAGCCGUGCCUGAAUCAUAAGGGUCACUUUGAUAGAGUGAAACAUGGGGGUUAGACUCCUCCCAGCUCCU